Molecule: long non-coding RNA, 1298 nt
Organism: Olea europaea var. sylvestris
Lineage: Eukaryota; Viridiplantae; Streptophyta; Magnoliopsida; Lamiales; Oleaceae
Exons: 3
Source: RefSeq, a predicted model, not a curated record
UUUUAGGAAAGAGGAAGUGGAAUGGGCCGAACGAAGGUAAAGGAAAUGGACGAAAUAAGAAAACCCUUAUUCAAACUCAUCUUCCUCUCCUGUUCAAUGUGCCGCAUCUGUAAAAGGAAUUAGGAUGGACAUCAAUACUCAAUCUUUGGAAAGGCAAUUUAUAGGUUCCACACCUUCUAGCUGGGCAAAGACUGAUCCUUAAUGCAAACACUUCUCGUCUAGUCGUGACAUUGAUGGUACACAUGUCUUUAUUGCAACAAUAGCUUUAAAGGUGGGGGAAUUAGUAGAAUGAAAUACCAUAUUGCUGGAAUUAUAGAUCAAAUAUCUCAAUGUAAGAAAGUUCCUUUUGAUGUUCGAUUUAAAUUUCAAGGAAUUCUUAAGGAUAUAACUUAAAAGAAACUAGAUGCUAAAGAGGCUCAUGAUUGUACUUUUAGGGAUAAUUAUAUAGAUUUAGAAAUUGGAGGAGAGGAAAUAGAAGAGAAAAUUCAAGAAAUACAUGUGUCUUCAUAAAAACAAAGGAAAGAGGAAAGCAAGUGACAAGAUUGAAGCAUAUUUUACUCCAAGGACCACUCCUGGAUCUCAGCCUAGUUUAAAGAGUGCUUUAGCUAGUAAACAAGCAAUAAAGAGAGCCCAUAUGUCUUGGGCUAAGUGGUUUUAUGAUGCUUGCAUUCCAUUUAAUGCUUUGCAAUCACCUUGGAUAACAUGUUUGGGGAGGAUUGUUUGAUGGCUGUGAAAAUUGUGGAUCCUAUUAUAAGAUUGUUACAAAUUGCAAAUUCAGAUGAAAAACCUUCAUUGGGUCAUAUAUAUGAAGGGAUGCAUAGGGCACAAUAAGGAAUCAAGAAUAAAUUCUUAAAUAAGAAGAGAUUGUACAAACAUUACACUGAUAUAAUAAAGGAGCGAUGGGAUAAACAUCUUCAUCUCAACAUACGUGCAGUAGCUCACUUUUUUAAUCCUGCUAUCAUAUAUGAAGAAAGAAUUUGUCAAAAAGUAGAAGUCAUGCAAAGUCUAUUCAAUUUGCUUGAAAUAAAAUAGCAUUUGUAGUGAUGAGACAAAAGUAAUGAGGGAGAUAAGGCUGUGGAGGGAGUUUUGGAAAGCAAUCUGCACGUAAUAGUAGAAAGUCAUUACAACCUGAUAAAUGAUGGAAAUUGUGUGGAUCUAACGCUCCUACUUUGCAAAAGACAGCUGUUCGAAUUCUUGGUCAAGCAGUUUCUUCUUCGAGAUGUGAAAGGAAAUGAAGUGUCUUUGAACGUAUUCACAGGAAAAAAAGAAAUAGAUUGGAGCAUCAAAGACUCAAUGAU